RNAcentral lists this ribosomal RNA (492 nucleotides) under uncultured bacterium. RNAcentral's name for it is "partial 16S ribosomal RNA". It matches the Rfam family "Bacterial small subunit ribosomal RNA", at positions 29 to 507 of the family's 1533-position model. The record is from RNAcentral.
AGUGAACGCUGGCGGUAGGCCUAACACAUGCAAGUCGAACGGCAGCACAGUAAUAGCUUGCUCUUACGGGUGGCGAGUGGCGGACGGGUGAGGAAUACAUCGGAAUCUACUUUUUCGUGGGGGAUAACGUAGGGAAACUUACGCUAAUACCGCAUACGACCUACGGGUGAAAGCAUGGGAUCUUCGGACCUUGCGCGAUUGAAUGAGCCGAUGUCGGAUUAGCUAGGUGGCGGGGUAAAGGCCCACCAAGGCGACGAUACGUAGCUGGUCUGAGAGGAUGAUCAGCCACACUGGAACUGAGCCACGGUCCAGACUCCUACGGGAGGCAGCAGUGGGGAAUAUUGGACAAUGGGAGCAAGCCUGAUCCAGCCAUACCGCGUGGGUGAAGAAGGCCUUCGGGUUGUAAAGCCCUUUUGUUGGGAAAGAAAAGCAGCAGGUUAAUACCCCGCUGUUCUGACGGUACCCAAAGAAUAAGCACCGGCUAACUUCGUG